This 1912-nucleotide ribosomal RNA is filed under the name Pterostichus lama. RNAcentral describes it as "SSU rRNA". It matches the Rfam family "Eukaryotic small subunit ribosomal RNA". The record is from RNAcentral. Lineage: Eukaryota; Metazoa; Arthropoda; Insecta; Coleoptera; Carabidae.
AAGAUUAAGCCAUGCAUGUCUAAGUACAAACUAUUAAAUAAAGUGAAACCGCGAAAGGCUCAUUAAAUCAGUUAUGGUUCCUUAGAUCGUACCACAAUUACUUGGAUAACUGUGGUAAUUCUAGAGCUAAUACAUGCAAACAGAGCUCUGACCGGAGACGGAAGGAGUGCUUUUAUUAGAUCAAAACCAAUCGGCGGCGAUAGCAUUUAUUUGUUAUCGUUCGUCGCUCAAUAAAUGGUGAAUCUGAAUAACUUUAUGCUGAUCGCAGGGUCUUGUACCGGCGACGCAUCUUUCAAAUGUCUGCCUUAUCAACUGUCGAUGGUAGGAUCUGCGCCUACCAUGGUUGUAACGGGUAACGGGGAAUCAGGGUUCGAUUCCGGAGAGGGAGCCUGAGAAACGGCUACCACAUCCAAGGAAGGCAGCAGGCGCGCAAAUUACCCACUCCCGGCACGGGGAGGUAGUGACGAAAAAUAACGAUACGGGACUCAUCCGAGGCCCCGUAAUCGGAAUGAGUACACUUUAAAUCCUUUAACGAGGACCAAUUGGAGGGCAAGUCUGGUGCCAGCAGCCGCGGUAAUUCCAGCUCCAAUAGCGUAUAUUAAAGUUGUUGCGGUUAAAAAGCUCGUAGUUGAACUUGUGUCCCGCACUGUCGGUUCACCGCCCGCGGUGCUAACUGGCAUGUUUGCGGGACGUCCUGCCGGUGGGUGUUCAGUAGUCAAUUGGCUUUCGGGUCUUUUGUACUAUUUCAUCCGACUUAUUAAAUCCUAUCGCGGUGCUCUUAACUGAGUGUCGAGGUGGGCCGGCACGUUUACUUUGAACAAAUUAGAGUGCUCAAAGCAGGCUAAUUAAUGCCUGAAUAAUUAGUGCAUGGAAUAAUGGAACAGGACCUUGGUUCUAUUUUGUUGGUUUUCGGAACCCCAAGGUAAUGAUUAAUAGGGACGGAUGGGGGCAUUCGUAUUGCGACGUUAGAGGUGAAAUUCUUGGAUCGUCGCAAGACGGACUAAAGCGAAAGCAUUUGCCAAAGAUGUUUUCAUUAAUCAAGAACGAAAGUCAGAGGUUCGAAGGCGAUCAGAUACCGCCCUAGUUCUGACCAUAAACGAUGCCAGCUAGCGAUCCGUCAAAGUUCCUCCGAUGACUUGGCGGGCAGCUUCCGGGAAACCAAAGCUUUUGGGUUCCGGGGGAAGUAUGGUUGCAAAGCUGAAACUUAAAGGAAUUGACGGAAGGGCACCACCAGGAGUGGAGCCUGCGGCUUAAUUUGACUCAACACGGGAAACCUCACCAGGCCCAGACACUGGAAGGAUUGACAGAUUGAGAGCUCUUUCUUGAUUCAGUGGGUGGUGGUGCAUGGCCGUUCUUAGUUGGUGGAGUGAUUUGUCUGGUUAAUUCCGAUAACGAACGAGACUCUAGCCUACUAAAUAGACGUUACACUUUCCAGUAUCUCGAAGGCUCACAUCUCUCGUUUCUUUACUGCACAUCGCCUAUCAUUUCGGUGAUUGGUUGUUGUGUGGUGGGCGGGAGUUUGUGGUUUUUACUACUGGCGUACAUAUAAUUCUUYUUAGAGGGACAGGCGGCUUCUAGCCGCACGAGAUUGAGCAAUAACAGGUCUGUGAUGCCCUUAGAUGUUYUGGGCCGCACGCGCGCUACACUGAAGGAAUCAACGUGUCCUCCCUGGCCGCAAGGUCCGGGUAACCCGCUGAACCUCCUUCGUGCUAGGGAUUGGGGCUUGCAAUUAUUCCCCAUGAACGAGGAAUUCCCAGUAAGCGCGAGUCAUAAGCUCGUGUUGAUUACGUCCCUGCCCUUUGUACACACCGCCCGUCGCUACUACCGAUUGAAUGAUUUAGUGAGGUYUUCGGACUGGUACGCGGUGAUGUUUCGACAUUACCGAUGUCGCUGGGAAGAUGACCAAACUUGA